GAUGAAGAACGUAGCGAAAUGCGAUAAGUAAUGUGAAUUGCAGAAUUCAGUGAAUCAUCGAAUCUUUGAACGCACAUUGCGCCCUCUGGUAUUCCGGGGGGCAUGCCUGUUCGAGCGUCAUUAUAACCACUCAAGCUCUCGCUUGGUAUUGGGGUUCGCGGUUUCGCGGCCCCUAAAAUCAGUGGCGGUGCCUGUCGGCUCUACGCGUAGUAAUACUUCUCGCGAUUGAGUUCGAUAGGUCUACUUGCCAGUAACCCCCAAUUUUUACAGGUUGACCUCGGAUCAGGUAGGGAUACCCGCUGAACUUAAGCAUAUCAAAAGCGGAGGA
RNAcentral lists this unclassified non-coding RNA (328 nucleotides) under soil metagenome. RNAcentral's name for it is "partial contains 5.8S ribosomal RNA, internal transcribed spacer 2, and large subunit ribosomal RNA". The stretch from base 1 to 120 matches the Rfam family "5.8S ribosomal RNA", at positions 35 to 154 of the family's 154-position model. The record is from RNAcentral.